GUAGGUGGCAAGCGUUGUCCGGAAUUAUUGGGGCGUAAAGCGCGCGCAGGCGGUUCUUUAAGACUGAUGUGAAAGCCCACGGGCUCAACCGUGGGAGGGUCAUUGGAAACUGGAGAACUUGAGUACAGAAGAGGAAAGCGGAAUUCCACGUGUAGCGGUGAGAUGCGUAGAGAUGUGGAGGAACACCAGUGGCGAAGGCGGCUUUCUGGUCUGUAACUGACGCUGAGGCGCGAAAGCGUGGGGAGCAAGCAGGAUUAGAUACCCUGGUAGUCCACGCCGUAAACGAUGAGUGCUAAGUGUUAGGGGGUUUCCGCCCCUUAGUGCUGCAGCUAACGCAUUAAGCACUCCGCCUGGGGAGUACGGCCGCAAAGGCUG
This 375-nucleotide ribosomal RNA is filed under the name uncultured organism. Its description in RNAcentral is "partial 16S ribosomal RNA". It matches the Rfam family "Bacterial small subunit ribosomal RNA", at positions 527 to 896 of the family's 1533-position model. The record is from RNAcentral.